This 1003-nucleotide unclassified non-coding RNA is filed under the name Hevea brasiliensis (rubber tree). The record is from RNAcentral. Lineage: Eukaryota; Viridiplantae; Streptophyta; Magnoliopsida; Malpighiales; Euphorbiaceae.
UCAAGGAUGAGCAAGCCAUGAGGGGACGCGCAUUUUGUUGAAUCUCCGUUUCGAAAUUCAAUCGGAAACCCUAAAUCUCUGUGCAGCAGAAUCAACGAGGACGAAGAAGAAGGUUCUAGAAAUAUGAGGAGAGUUUUCGGUGCGAAGAAACAAACGGAACCUCCUCCUUCCAUUCAAGACGCAUCCGAUCGGAUUAAUAAAAGAGGUGACACCGUGGAGGAGAAAAUCAAGAAGCUUGAUGUUGAACUUGCAAGAUACAAGGAACAGCUAAAGAAGACCCGGCCAGGUCCAGCUCAAGAUGCUGUAAAAGCUCGAGCAAUGAGAGUUUUGAAGCAAAAAAGAAUGUAUGAAGGCCAACGUGACAUGCUCUUCAAUCAGACGUACAACCUAGAUCAAGUUUCAUUUGCAGCUGAGGGAAUUAAAGAUGCUCAGCAAACAAUGUCAGCUUUGAAGUCUGCAAACAAAGACUUGAAAGGAAUGAUGAAGACAGUGAAGAUUCAAGAUAUAGAUAACCUACAAGAUGAAAUGAUGGACUUGAUGGAUGUGAGCAAUGAAAUUCAAGAGUCUCUUGGUAGAAGCUACAGUGUGCCAGAUGACAUUGAUGAAGAUGAACUCCUCGGUGAGCUUGAUGCUCUGGAGGCCGACAUGGAUACUGAAGGCGAAGGAGUCCCUUCGUAUCUUCAACCAGACAAGGAGCCCGAUUUGGAUGCAGAGCUUAGCCUACCAUCAGCACCAACAGGGCAUGGACCAAUGCCAGCUGGUAACCAGGCUUAUGAUGAACUAGGAUUACCUGCUGUUCCUCGCGCAUCAAUUCGCGGUUAAGGGAUUAGUGGGAUACUAAUGAUGACUUCAUUUGGGAUUAUUCUUUUGUUUAUUGGGGAAACCUGGUGUAAACAUUAGUGUGCAGAGUAUAUCUUCAUCGUUGUUUCCAAAUGACCAUGUUGAUUUUUUGUGUAAUAAUGGACAUGAUGCUUGAAUUGUUUUGUGCACAUUCUCUACAUCU